Molecule: ribosomal RNA, 209 nt
Filed under: uncultured bacterium
Lineage: Bacteria
Description: partial 16S ribosomal RNA
Rfam family: Bacterial small subunit ribosomal RNA
Source: RNAcentral
UACGUAGGGUGCAAGCGUUGUCCGGAAUUAUUGGGCGUAAAGAGCUCGUAGGCGGUUUGUCGCGUCUGCUGUGAAAACGCGAGGCUCAACCUCGCGCCUGCAGUGGGUACGGGCAGACUGGAGUGCGGUAGGGGAGAUUGGAAUUCCUGGUGUAGCGGUGGAAUGCGCAGAUAUCAGGAGGAACACCGAUGGCGAAGGCAGAUCUCUGG